CCUACGGGGGGCAGCAGUAGGGAAUCUUUCACAAUGGGCGAAAGCCUGAUGGAGCAACGCCGGGUGCAGGAUGAAGGCCUUCGGGUUGUAAACUGCUUUUAUAAGCGAGAAAUAUGAUGGUAACUUAUGAAUAAGGAUCGGCUAACUACGUGCCAGCAGCCGCGGUCAUACGUAGGAUCCGAGCAUUAUCCGGAGUGACUGGGUGUAAAGAGUUGCGUAGGUGGCAUAAUAAGUAGCUAGUGAAAUCUGGUGGCUCAACCAUUCAGACUAUUAGCUAAACUGUUAAGCUCGAGACCGUUAGGGGUAACUGGAAUUUCUAGUGUAGGAGUGAAAUCCGUAGAUAUUAGAAGGAACACCAAUAGCGUAGGCAGGUUGCUGGGACGGUUCUGACACUAAGGCACGAAAGCGUAGGGAGCAAACGGGAUUAGAUACCCCAGUAGUC
This 442-nucleotide ribosomal RNA is filed under the name uncultured bacterium. RNAcentral's name for it is "partial 16S ribosomal RNA". It matches the Rfam family "Bacterial small subunit ribosomal RNA", at positions 338 to 795 of the family's 1533-position model. The record is from RNAcentral.